AGAGUUUGAUCAUGGCUCAGGAUGAACGCUGGCGGCGUGCUUAACACAUGCAAGUCGAACGGAGUUGAUCGGAGGAAGUUUUCGGAUGGAAUCGGAUUGACUUAGUGGCGGACGGGUGAGUAACGCGUGGGUAACCUGCCUCACACUGGGGGAUAACAGAUAGAAAUAUCUGCUAAAACCGCAUAAGCGCACGGGGUCGCAUGGCCAUGUGUGAAAAACUCCGG
This 224-nucleotide ribosomal RNA is filed under the name uncultured bacterium. Its description in RNAcentral is "partial 16S ribosomal RNA". It matches the Rfam family "Bacterial small subunit ribosomal RNA", at positions 8 to 214 of the family's 1533-position model. The record is from RNAcentral.